RNAcentral lists this ribosomal RNA (467 nucleotides) under uncultured bacterium. RNAcentral's name for it is "partial 16S ribosomal RNA". It matches the Rfam family "Bacterial small subunit ribosomal RNA", at positions 28 to 506 of the family's 1533-position model. The record is from RNAcentral.
GACGAACGCUGGCGGCGUGCUUAACACAUGCAAGUCGAACGGAAAGGCCCUGCUUUUGUGGGGUGCUCGAGUGGCGAACGGGUGAGUAACACGUGAGUAACCUGCCCUUGACUUUGGGAUAACUUCAGGAAACUGGGGCUAAUACCGGAUAGGAGCUCCUGCUGCAUGGUGGGGGUUGGAAAGUUUCGGCGGUUGGGGAUGGACUCGCGGCUUAUCAGCUUGUUGGUGGGGUAGUGGCUUACCAAGGCUUUGACGGGUAGCCGGCCUGAGAGGGUGACCGGCCACAUUGGGACUGAGAUACGGCCCAGACUCCUACGGGAGGCAGCAGUGGGGAAUAUUGCACAAUGGGCGGAAGCCUGAUGCAGCAACGCCGCGUGCGGGAUGACGGCCUUCGGGUUGUAAACCGCUUUCGCCUGUGACGAAGCGUGAGUGACGGUACUGGGUAAAGAAGCACCGGCUAACUACGU